Molecule: long non-coding RNA, 3624 nt
Organism: Crotalus tigris (Tiger rattlesnake)
Lineage: Eukaryota; Metazoa; Chordata; Lepidosauria; Squamata; Viperidae
Exons: 2
Source: RefSeq, a predicted model, not a curated record
UAGAACUCGGCGUGAUCGCGCCUCUGGGAAGCAGAGCUCUGGCGGUUGAAGGAGCGUGGGGUGAAGGGCGCGAAAUUGGGGGCAGGCAGAGAGAGAGAGAGAGAGAGAUCAAGAGAAGCUGAAUGGGACACUGGGGUAGCAGGGCAGGUGAAGCCCGGCAGAGGAAGCCGCGGGAGGCCGAGCUGCCUGGCCGAGGGCGCGUGAGGAGGUUGCCGCUAUUCCCGCAAAUGAGGGUGGAGGAGAAGACAGACAGAGCAAGGGAGCCGCAGGGUUGCCUGGACUUGAGCUGGGACAGGAGUUGCGGGGAACGACAAGGGCCUUUGGCUGGCGGCUGUUUUCCGAGUCCUGAAGUCACCCCGCUGCCCGCCUAUAACCUCGCGCCCAAAAGGCAGGGAAGUCAACCUGGAGUCCAGAGGGAGAGCACCAGGCGCUGCCCGCCCUCUGUGUGGACCUCGGCAAGAAGUUGGGGGAUAGAAACGGCCACCUUAAGCCGCCUUUUUUCCCAUAAUACUUUUUUUAUCUGUUACAUAAAGGGCCGUUAUUGUGUUUCGAAGUUCCGUGGGUUUUAAACUGCCGCGACAGGAUUUGCAGGCCUGCCUAGGGCCAUGAAGGGGCUGACUUAAAUUAAGACGGCUUCUUCAUUGCACAUCUCACUUUGUUCGGAUUUGCUUAGGGGGCUUUAGCUAGAUGGAGCUAGAUGGAGAGAAAAAGGUCAGCCGCAUCCCCUUUGCUUCAACUGAAAACUUUCAAACUGCUUCCUUGGAGGUCAUCCGAACCCAGACAGAGGGAUUAUCUCUUCUAUUUAACCUCUAGACAUGGAGGUAAAAGUAAGACGAAGUUUGUGAUUCUUUCAUUUUUCAUCCCCCAUAAAAUUCUCCUUCCCAUUGAACAAGAUUCCUGAUGGUGAAAUAAGAAUAUGGGAUGGAGGAAAACACAGCCUUCUCCCAUUCUUCACCGUAACCCUGAUCCAGGUCGGCAUGCACCCAACAAUAUGUCCAAGGUUAUAUUUGGCCUCUCCUGUUGGAGAAUUGUAUAUUUAUGAGACAAAUUCCUUAGACACAGAGGUCCUAAUCUGUCUUACCUCAUUUCCAUUGCCACUGUGUGAGAAGGUGAAAGAUGUAGCUUACCACAAGGGUAUUUUAGGUACUCCAAAUACUGUUUAUGCAUUAUUUAAAUCCCCUCUUCCAUAGCCUGAGCAAUAUAAAGCAGGCAAGCCUCAACUAAUCUGAUGAAAUAUCUCUGUUACAAAGAAAAUUAUGUGCUUGAUUUUCCUUUUUAUUUGUUUUCCAGAAAUCAAACCAUUUUCACCACAGCGCUCCUGUAAUCGAAGUGAUUUCAAGUGGAUUUUAAUUCCAGCACUUCAGGAAAUAAAAAGACCCCCCCUGCCGUUUCUCACAAAAAGCAAAGACAUGAGUCAAACUGUUUCCUAUCAGCAUUUUCUGCAGCUGCAGUUUAAGGAGCUAGUAUUCAUUUCAGAAACCAACUGCAUCUACUCUUGGAGGAUGAAACUCAGCUAAUGUGAGGGGAGGGAAGAAUUUUAAGCAGAGACUUGAAUUUGGUCAAAGUUGCAGAAAAGCUCUAUUUAGAACAGUGUUUCUCAACCUUAGGAAAUUUAAGAUAUGUGGACUUCAACCCCCCCACCCACCCCGAAUUCCCUCACUAGUAUGGCUGGCUGGGGAAUUCUGGGAGUUGAAGUCCACAUGUCCUAAAGUUUCUACAGUUGAGAAACAUUGCUUUAGAAUCAUGACUUAGGAAAAUCAGUGGGAAUAGAGUUCCGAACCUAAUAUUAUCCUGCUCACAACAGGUAGAACUUAAAGGACCUGCUUCAGAGUUUGCACACUCUAAAAUUUGUCACAAUCAUCUGUGAUCCUAAAUUCAAACCUUGCACUUUGAGAUGCCUGCCUUUUAAUUGUGUCUACCAGGCCUCCUUAUUUUGUCUUGUAAUGGAUUUAAUACAGACCGGUUGUCAGAUGCGAAGGAUCAGGUCCACAUAUGAAGAUCCAGUUAAACUGAUUUAUUGCUAAUAAUGUAUAUGCACAGAAAUCUUCUCAACUAAUAGGCUAGAUAAGAGUCAACAGAAUUCAAGGGAGGUUGAACUUAGUUUACUUGUGGCUAUGUAAGAAUUCUAGGCUGAUUCCUUUUUUGUAAUGUCACCCUCAGGUUCUGCCAUUCCUUCUCCUAUACUGGGAUAAUGCAUUUACUUACGAACGUUUGAAAAAGUUUUGAAUAAAGUAAUAUAAUAAAAUAAACAUAAUGAAAUAAAAUGGCAGUUUUCCUGCCCUACUUGCCCAAGCAUAAAAUUAGGCAGUGAAUAUGCACCCUCACAACCACUGGUUCAUUCCGUGAGUGGGGAUGGUUAAUGAGAUAUAUGAGAUUCAUUUAGCCUAGUUUAACAUGAUGCAUCAAUUCUCAAGUGUAGCUUUGCCCAUCUGGAAGAUGCCUGAAAAUAAAGCCAAAAACAAACAAAAUCCACAUGUCAUGAUGUUAACCAAAUAGAUGGCUUGUUGGCUACAUAUUCACAUGGCAGGAGCCUGUGAUUGAUUCACCACCAAGACUAGGUAAGUGCAGUGGUUCAUUGGGAUUGGCCUGAGAUAUACAAGUCCCUCCAAAUAUUGUUGCAGUUGCUAUACUUUUUUAACAAAAAGCUUCUCACAAAAUAGAUGCACUGCUGUAAGCAAAAAUCCAAACAGCUGCAUCCACCAUCUUCAUUUCCCAGAGGAUGAGAAAUCUGUGAGAAUAAAAUAGAAGGAGAGAAAGAGUUCAGCUACUUACCCACUGAGUAAGAAGAGAUCCGAGACAAGACGUAAAAGGAAAAUGAACAUCCAGAAGUCCAGUAUUCUUUUAUGAAUAGCAGGAGCAAGUAGGUCAAUGCUGAGAAAAGCGAGUGGUGAUUAUCCUUCCAAGAAAGCAGCUUUCUCAGUGUCUACUCCACCAUGACUGCACCAUGGAACAAGGUUAACCUGUGAAUGUGAUGAUCUAUCUUAUUUGUCUGAAUGUGAAGAUCUUUCCUCUAUUGGCAAGCUGUCCUUUUAAUUCUCCAUGCUUCUGAAGGUAGUAUCAUCAGUAGAAAAUGUUAGUGGUGGCUGGUUCAUAGUUUCUUAUUAGUGUUAAUUUUGAUAGGGACCUAUACAGUAUCUAUAGGAUGUGUUUGGAUCAGUGUUGUCUCCUAAUGAUUGCCUGAAGGAAUCCCUGCAAUUAUCUUGGCAAGAUUUCAGAAGUGAUUGACCAUUGUCGCCUUCCUAGGGUUAAGAGAAAGUGACUGGCCCAAGUCAUCCAGCUGGCUUUGGGCUUAAGGCAGGAUUAGAAAUCAUGGUCUUUCAAUUUCUAGCCUGGUGCCUUAACCACUGCAUCAAACUGAUUCUUAUCUUCAUAAAUCUACCUGCUUAUUAAGAUUUACUUAUCAAGCUUGGCUAGAGUUCUCUUUGCUAAUGGAAGAGUGGUUUUGGUAAGUCUGUUUUCUCAGUGGCACAUGAAAACUGUCCUGGUCCAAGAGAUUCUUCUGCUGAUCUGUAUUUGUGUUACAUAUUUUACUUGCCAUUUAAUUACCUUGAAUAUAUACGGCUAAGUUUGUAAGCCAAUAUGAAGCAAUGUAUAAAUAUUUCAAAUAAAAAUGUUCAAAAUCUG